AAAGAAAUAAUCACACAACAAUGUAUGUCUUUAAUGCCUAUUAGGCUUUAAGAGACGUCUCUUCAUUUCACAGUCCUUGGUAGUGGAAACCCUUUAUUAUGAGACGUCUCUUCAUUUCCCAGUCCUUGGUAGUGGAAACCCUUUAUUAUGAGGUGCGAGGCUCGAAAAGACACCUAUUGAAUCUGAAGAUACGCGAAAUAGAGAAUAAAAAUGUAAGGCCUCCGUAUCUUUAUAAAAAUCUCCCGAUUGUAGAACAAGUUUCUAUUGAAUCAUGCUCUCCUGAUGAACGGGUAUUCUUUAGUCAUGCCUCCCCAAUGCCUUGUAUAUACAUGUUGUUCAAGGAUUUAGGUAUCCUAAUCCCUUUUACAUCUUUUGAGUGCGAGUUUCUGAGAAAAAUUCAUGUAGCUUCGAGUCAAUUGCACCCAAAUAGCUGGGCUUCCUUCAGGCUUUUCAGAUAUUAUGUUCAGUUUUAAAUAUUGAAAUUAGUUUGGGUAGGUUCAUGUAUUUUUAUCAACUAAAACUUGGUGAAGCACCUUUUGGAUGGGUAUCAUCGUGGAGUGGAAUUUCGAAAGGGGCAUUAUUUCAAAUUUUUACCCAAUCUUAUAAAAAAUUUAAGGAGAAAUUUUUUAAGGUUCGUCUUGCAUUGAAUGAUCCGAGUUUGGAUACCGUUUUUCAUUUGGGGGGUGAGCCAAUAUUUCCUUUUUAUUGACAAUCACAAUCUUUAAAAUUCUCCGGCAUAGAAGGCUUAGUUUUAACCCAAUCCGAGGUGAAAGACAUAGAGAAACUUCGAAUGUUACCUCGACCUUUAGAAAGCAAGGCCAUUUUAUCUCUCUCGAAUUCAAAAGAUCCACAAGGAGAUUUAGAGAGCAAAAAUUAUGGAGAAGAGUAAGGGGCGUCAAUUAAAAGCCAAGUUUAAUGCAGAGGAAAUGGAGACUUUAGAGGCAAACCUUGCACCUUCUCAUCGAAGAAAAAAGCCAAAGAUCGACAUUGAGAAAGAGAAGUCCGAUGUGAAGCAAAAGAUCGAUGUUGGCCAGAAAAUCGGUGUCCAAACUGCCAAUAUCGAGCAUGAAGGCGAGGCCAACAUCGAAAUCAUUGAUAUUACCGAUCCUGAAGUUGGUCAAAAAGACACUGAAAAGAAAUAUGUGAAUAAUUCGAAUUUGGAAUCGGCGAGUUCUUAACAUUUAAUAUCUUUGUUUUAAAAUACAACUCUAAAUUUAAUCUUGAAUGGUCAUAGGGCUCUAUGCCAGAAGACAUAGCUGCUUCUAAUUUCUCCGGAGUGGUGGAUCAUUGGAAGAAAAAGUGGGAGAAGAAUGUUUCUCAAAUGGAUAAAUUAAAAGGGUAAAACACUGAAAUAGCUCCUUUAACUGCUGAAUUAUCAGAAGUAAAGAAAAAGUUGGAAGAAACGACUAAGGCAUUCGAGAUAUCUGUGAGGUCGAAUAAAUCGUAUUCGGCUAAGGUGGAAGAGCUACUAAAUAAGGUGAAGAUGAUGGAAGAGGAAAAAGAGUUGCAGAAAAAAGCUUUUUUGGAGUUGGAGAUUAAGAUGAAAGAAGGCGAAGGACAUGCUCAACAACUUCAAGCUGAACGUCAAGAGGUAAAAGGAAAAGUUCUUGGUGAUAUGAAGAGAGUCUCGGAUUUGGAAAAGAAAAAUAUGGAGCUAAGUAAAAAGUUGACAGCUACAGAAUAUCAUGUGGUCAUAGAACAUAAAAGAGGAUUUGCAAAGGCAAUCCGGCAAGCUAAAUUUAUUGCUCCUGAGAUUGACUUUGGGGAAGUACAUGUUGAUAAAGAUGUAUUUAAGGGAAAAAUCAUUAAUGAGGAUGAAAUACCUGAGGAUUCCAGUAGCAAUGAAGAAGAUAAUACUUAGGGGAAAAUUAAUUAUUUAAGGUUUAUCAUUUUUAAGUUGUUGUGUUGGGAUAUUAAUAGCUUUAAAAUUUGCUUAUGUAAACUUAGAUCAAGUUUAUAAUGACAUAUUUGCAU
Cajanus cajan (pigeon pea) is the source of this 1974-nucleotide non-coding RNA. Lineage: Eukaryota; Viridiplantae; Streptophyta; Magnoliopsida; Fabales; Fabaceae. The record is from RefSeq and is a predicted model, not a curated record.